GGGCCGUUAGCUCAGUUGGCAGAGCAGCUGACUCUUAAUCAGCGGGUCGAAGGUUCGAGCCCUUCACGGCCCACCA
This 76-nucleotide transfer RNA is filed under the name Thiohalospira halophila DSM 15071. RNAcentral describes it as "tRNA_Lys_CTT". It matches the Rfam family "tRNA". From Rfam's summary of the family: Transfer RNA (tRNA) molecules are approximately 80 nucleotides in length. The record is from RNAcentral. RNAcentral also lists the same sequence under 2 other names. Lineage: Bacteria; Pseudomonadati; Pseudomonadota; Gammaproteobacteria; Thiohalospirales; Thiohalospiraceae.